UUCCGGUUGAUCCUGCCGGAAGUCACUGCUAUCGGGGUUCGAUUGAGCCAUGCGAGUCGAGAGGGUUCGGCCCUCGGCGUACUGCUCAGUAACACGUGGAUAACCUGCCCUAGGGAAGGGGAUAAUCCCGGGAAACUGGGGAUAAUACCCUAUAGGUUACAGAUGCUGGAAUGCUCUGUAAUCAAAAGUUCCGGCGCCCUAGGAUGGAUCUGCGGCCGAUUAGGUUGUUGUUGGGGUAAUGGCCCAACAAGCCAGUAAUCGGUACGGGUUGUGGGAGCAAGAGCCCGGAGUUGGAUUCUGAGACACGAAUCCAGGCCCUACGGGGCGCAGCAGGCGCGAAAACUUUACAAUGCGGGCAACCGUGAUAAGGGAACCUCGAGUGCCUGUAAAUGCAGGCUGUUCAGAUGCCUAAAACACAUCUGGAGAAAGGGCCGGGCAAGACCGGUGCCAGCCGCCGCGGUAAUACCGGCGGCUCGAGUGGUGGCCACUUUUAUUGGGCUUAAAGCGUUCGUAGCUGGGUUGUUAAGUCUCUUGGGAAAUCUGGCGGCUUAACCGUCAGGCGUCUAAGGGAUACUGGCAAUCUUGGAACCGGGAGAGGUGAGGGGUACUUCGGGGGUAGGAGUGAAAUCCUGUAAUCCUCGAGGGACCACCUGUGGCGAAGGCGCCUCACCAGAACGGCUUCGACAGUGAGGGACGAAAGCUGGGGGAGCAAACCGGAUUAGAUACCCGGGUAGUCCCAGCCGUAAACUAUGCGCGUUAGGUGUAUCGGUGACCACGAGUUACCGAGGUGCCGAAGGGAAACCGUGAAACGUGCCGCCUGGGAAGUACGGUCGCAAGGCUGAAACUUAAAGGAAUUGGCGGGGGAGCACCACAACAGGUGGAGCCUGCGGUUUAAUUGGAUUCAACGCCGGG
This 912-nucleotide ribosomal RNA is filed under the name uncultured Methanoculleus sp. Its description in RNAcentral is "bacterial SSU rRNA". It matches the Rfam family "Archaeal small subunit ribosomal RNA", at positions 1 to 922 of the family's 1478-position model. The record is from RNAcentral. Lineage: Archaea; Methanobacteriati; Methanobacteriota; Methanomicrobia; Methanomicrobiales; Methanomicrobiaceae.